This 337-nucleotide ribosomal RNA is filed under the name uncultured bacterium. RNAcentral's name for it is "partial 16S ribosomal RNA". It matches the Rfam family "Bacterial small subunit ribosomal RNA", at positions 338 to 686 of the family's 1533-position model. The record is from RNAcentral.
CCUACGGGUGGCUGCAGUCGAGAAUCAUUCACAAUGGGGGAAACCCUGAUGGUGCGACGCCGCGUGGGGGAAUGAAGGUCUUCGGAUUGUAAACCCCUGUCAUGUGGGAGCAAAUUAAAAAGAUAGUACCACAAGAGGAAGAGACGGCUAACUCUGUGCCAGCAGCCGCGGUAAUACAGAGGUCUCAAGCGUUGUUCGGAAGCACUGGGCGUAAAGCGUGCGGAGGCUGUUUCGUAAGUCGAGUGUGAAAGGCGCGGGGUCAAACCGGGGACGGAAGAUGAUACUGGGAGACUAGAGUAAUGGAGAGGGAACGGGAAUUCUCGGUGUAGCGGUGAAA